UGGGGAAUCUUGCGCAAUGGGCGAAAGCCUGACGCAGCAACGCCGCGUGAGGGAUGACGGCCUUCGGGUUGUAAACCUCUUCGACCGGGACGAAGAGAGAUUGACGGUACCGGUAUAAGAAGCACCGGCCAACUACGUGCCAGCAGCCGCGGUAACACGUAGGGUGCAAGCGUUAAUCGGAAUUACUGGGCGUAAAGCGCGCGUAGGUGGUUUGUUAAGUCGGAUGUGAAAUCCCAGGGCUCAACCUUGGAAUGGCACCGAUACUGGCAGGCUAGAGUACGGUAGAGGGGUGUGGAAUUUCCUGUGUAGCGGUGAAAUGCGUAGAUAUAGGAAGGAACAUCAGUGGCGAAGGCGACACCCUGGACUGAUACUGACACUGAGGUGCGAAAGCGUGGGGAGCAAACAGGAUUAGAUACCC
Molecule: ribosomal RNA, 418 nt
Filed under: uncultured bacterium
Lineage: Bacteria
Description: bacterial SSU rRNA
Rfam family: Bacterial small subunit ribosomal RNA
Source: RNAcentral